UACAUGGGGUGCAAACGUUGCUCGGAAUCAUUGGGCGUAAAGCGCGCGUAGGCGGUUGCUUAUGUCGGAUGUGAAAGCCCUCGGCUUAACUGAGGAAGUGCAUCCGAAACUGGGCAGCUAGAGUACGAAAGAGGGUCGCGGAAUUCCCGGUGUAGAGGUGAAAUUCGUAGAUAUCGGGAGGAACACCGGUGGCGAAGGCGGCGACCUGGGUCGAGACUGACGCUGAGGCGCGAAAGCGUGGGGAGCAAACAGG
Molecule: ribosomal RNA, 253 nt
Filed under: uncultured bacterium
Lineage: Bacteria
Description: partial 16S ribosomal RNA
Rfam family: Bacterial small subunit ribosomal RNA
Source: RNAcentral